RNAcentral lists this ribosomal RNA (454 nucleotides) under uncultured bacterium. RNAcentral's name for it is "partial 16S ribosomal RNA". It matches the Rfam family "Bacterial small subunit ribosomal RNA", at positions 28 to 507 of the family's 1533-position model. The record is from RNAcentral.
GAUGAACGCUGACCGAAUGCUUAACACAUGCAAGUCAACUUGAACUUCGGUUUGGGUGGCGGACGGGUGAGUAACGCGUAACGAACUUGCCUCACAGCUAGGGACAACAUAUGGAAACGAAUGCUAAUACCUGAUAUUAUGAUUUUAGGGCAUCCUAGAAUUAUGAAAGCUAUAUGCGCUGUGAGAGAGCUUUGCGUCCCAUUAGCUAGUUGGGGAGGUAACGGCUCACCAAGGCGAUGAUGGGUAGCCGGCCUGAGAGGGUGAACGGCCACAAGGGGACUGAGACACGGCCCUUGCCCCUACGGGAGGCAGCAGUGGGGAAUAUUGGACAAUGGACCAAGAGUCUGAUCCAGCAAUUCUGUGUGAUCGAUGAAGUUUUUCGGAAUGUAAAGUACUUUCAGUUGGGAAGAAAAAAAUGACGGUACCAACAGAAGAAGUGACGGCUAAAUACGUG